GUGCUUGCUUCGGCAACACGUAUACUAAAACUGAAAUGAUACAGAAAGAUUAGCAUAGUCCCUGAGCAAGGAUGACAUGCAAAUAAAAAUUUAAAAAUAAAAU
Pongo abelii (Sumatran orangutan) is the source of this 103-nucleotide small nuclear RNA. The record is from Ensembl. NCBI's taxonomy places the organism in Eukaryota, Metazoa, Chordata, Mammalia, Primates, Hominidae.